Molecule: long non-coding RNA, 998 nt
Organism: Bufo bufo (common toad)
Lineage: Eukaryota; Metazoa; Chordata; Amphibia; Anura; Bufonidae
Exons: 3
Source: RefSeq, a predicted model, not a curated record
UACCACGGACCGCUCACAGCCGUGUGCAUUCGGCCUAAAUCACACAAAUAGCAAUACAAUGUUUGUUUACGACUAUGUCCAUACCUUUUCUUUCUUUCUUAUUGUCUUUAAUAAUUUUAUGCAAACUAGGUAGUGCAAGUAACCGAUCCAGUACCCGGAGUACACUGAGCAUGAGCAGUGGCAUGGAAGGAGAUAAUGAGGAUAAUGAGGUUUCAGAACAUCCUCCACCAUACAAACCUAGGCAUUCCCUACCAGAAGAAACACCUCCACCAAGACCACCCAGGAUACAAACCAGAAGCACUAGAAGAUCUCAUAGAACCUCUGGCUACAGUAAUGCCCCACCAGUGCCACCUAGAGGCCGAAAUGAGAAGUAAAGAUGACAGAGAGAAGAAUAUAUAUUUUUCUAAUAACGAAUAGCAAAUGAACCACAGGAUUUUUUUACAGUUGUGUCUGAAAGGGCAAAAUAUGUCAACUCGAUGACUGACCAAUAAAAUGGACUCCGUUGGAGCUUUAUGGCCAGCUCACUCCUUUAUUGGUUCCCUUCAAAUAUGGAUUAAAUUAACCAGCCAGAAGAGAGUGAAGGACCAGUAAUCUAGAAUUCAGUAAUGGACAUCCGUACGAUAAAGACUUAAACCCCACGGGAGAUUGUGAGGACAAGAUUCUACAAUUAAACCGAUGUUUAAAAACAAAACUAACUUGACUUUUUGGGGUGAAUUCGCACAGAUAAAACCUCUGGCUGCUUCAUCUAGAUAACAUUUCCAUCCUUUUGUUAAGGACACAUUGCUUCCAUGAUUUUAUUUUGUUACAGAUAGUUUACAGAUCCAGCCAACAUGUUUCAUAUAUCAGAUUGUCUUCAUCUAUGUGUAUAUGUAAACUAAUGUUAACUGAUGUUUUCAGAUAUCAGUAAGGAGUCAUGGGGGAGGAGCCGCUCUCCCAAGGAGUCAUAGUGGCCGAUCCCCAUCCCACAGGCCUCCUAAAGUGGCAUUUGGUGCAUAUAC